AAAUUGAAGAGUUUGAUCAUGGCUCAGAUUGAACGCUGGCGGCAGGCCUAACACAUGCAAGUCGAACGGUAACAGGAAACAGCUUGCUGUUUCGCUGACGAGUGGCGGACGGGUGAGUAAUGUCUGGGAAACUGCCUGAUGGAGGGGGAUAACUACUGGAAACGGUAGCUAAUACCGCAUAACGUCGCAAGACCAAAGAGGGGGACCUUCGGGCCUCUUGCCAUCAGAUGUGCCCAGAUGGGAUUAGCUUGUUGGUGGGGUAACGGCUCACCAAGGCGACGAUCUCUAGCUGGUCUGAGAGGAUGACCAGCCACACUGGAACUGAGACACGGUCCAGACUCCUACGGGAGGCAGCAGUGGGGAAUAUUGCACAAUGGGCGCAAGCCUGAUGCAGCCAUGCCGCGUGUAUGAAGAAGGCCUUCGGGUUGUAAAGUACUUUCAGCGGGGAGGAAGGGAGUAAAGUUAAUACCUUUGCUCAUUGACGUUACCCGCAGAAGAAGCACCGGCUAACUCCGUGCCAGCAGCCGCGGUAAUACGGAGGGUGCAAGCGUUAAUCGGAAUUACUGGGCGUAAAGCGCACGCAGGCGGUUUGUUAAGUCAGAUGUGAAAUCCCCGGGCUCAACCUGGGAACUGCAUCUGAUACUGGCAAGCUUGAGUCUCGUAGAGGGGGGUAGAAUUCCAGGUGUAGCGGUGAAAUGCGUAGAGAUCUGGAGGAAUACCGGUGGCGAAGGCGGCCCCCUGGACGAAGACUGACGCUCAGGUGCGAAAGCGUGGGGAGCAAACAGGAUUAGAUACCCUGGUAGUCCACGCCGUAAACGAUGUCGACUUGGAGGUUGUGCCCUUGAGGCGUGGCUUCCGGAGCUAACGCGUUAAGUCGACCGCCUGGGGAGUACGGCCGCAAGGUUAAAACUCAAAUGAAUUGACGGGGGCCCGCACAAGCGGUGGAGCAUGUGGUUUAAUUCGAUGCAACGCGAAGAACCUUACCUGGUCUUGACAUCCACGGAAGUUUUCAGAGAUGAGAAUGUGCCUUCGGGAACCGUGAGACAGGUGCUGCAUGGCUGUCGUCAGCUCGUGUUGUGAAAUGUUGGGUUAAGUCCCGCAACGAGCGCAACCCUUAUCCUUUGUUGCCAGCGGUCCGGCCGGGAACUCAAAGGAGACUGCCAGUGAUAAACUGGAGGAAGGUGGGGAUGACGUCAAGUCAUCAUGGCCCUUACGACCAGGGCUACACACGUGCUACAAUGGCGCAUACAAAGAGAAGCGACCUCGCGAGAGCAAGCGGACCUCAUAAAGUGCGUCGUAGUCCGGAUUGGAGUCUGCAACUCGACUCCAUGAAGUCGGAAUCGCUAGUAAUCGUGGAUCAGAAUGCCACGGUGAAUACGUUCCCGGGCCUUGUACACACCGCCCGUCACACCAUGGGAGUGGGUUGCAAAAGAAGUAGGUAGCUUAACCUUCGGGAGGGCGCUUACCACUUUGUGAUUCAUGACUGGGGUGAAGUCGUAACAAGGUAACCGUAGGGGAACCUGCGGUUGGAUCACCUCCUUACCUUAAAGAAGC
This 1554-nucleotide ribosomal RNA is filed under the name Escherichia coli. RNAcentral's name for it is "bacterial SSU rRNA". It matches the Rfam family "Bacterial small subunit ribosomal RNA". The record is from RNAcentral. Lineage: Bacteria; Pseudomonadati; Pseudomonadota; Gammaproteobacteria; Enterobacterales; Enterobacteriaceae.